Mus musculus (house mouse) is the source of this 1211-nucleotide long non-coding RNA. RefSeq annotates it as predicted gene, 51989. The transcript has 3 exons. NCBI's taxonomy places the organism in Eukaryota, Metazoa, Chordata, Mammalia, Rodentia, Muridae. The record is from RefSeq and is a predicted model, not a curated record.
GUCAAGAUGGAGGCAGUGGGUUACCAGGUGUGGCUCCUUACUGUCCCCUCUGCUUCCUGGUUGUCGAGAGGUGAGCAGCUUCCUCUGCCAAGCUCUUCCUCUAUGCUGUCUCUGCCUUGCUCUGUGCCUAAGAACAAUGGAGUCAGCCAGCCACAGACUAAAACCUCAGAGCUAAGGAAGACACUAUGUCAUGAUUUUCAGUUACCUGGUGCCGGGCUCGACUCUGGUCCAGAAGUUGCCGGGACUGAAGUUUUUGUUGCUCGAGUUGCUGGAGAGCAAAGUGGAGCUGGUAGCUGCCUGCUGUGGGGUGGUACUUGUGCUGGGGGACCACCCCUGUAGUCUUGCUGUAUGCGUUGUUCUCUACCUCGCCCUCCCAGGCAAAGCCACCUGUCUGGAGGCUCCUGCAGAGAGAAAGAAUGCAUGUUUCCACAUGAGGAUGUGAACAAUCUAGAACCAGAUACAGGUACGGGUGGUUUUUCUUCAUGUCUGUCUGUCUGUCCAUCGUAUGUGCCUGGUGUCCUUUGCCCUUGGAAGCCCUGAAGCUGGAGUUACAGACGGUUGUGAGCUGCCAGUGUUCUUGACUGCUGAGCCACCUCUCCAGCCCAUGACAAAGAAUUUCUACUGUUAAUAUACAAAGUCUGCAUUGUUAACUGACCCUAACAACAGAAUGAAAACAACUAAAAAUGUGAUUUGAAAAGAUAUUUUAUGAGUGAAAAAAUAUGAAUGUCCAAUAAGCAUACAAGUUCUCAGUAUCAGUCGUCAUCAGAGAAAUUCAAAUGACAUUUUAUAGUAUUAUAAUGAUUACAAUUGCAGCUGGGUGUAGUGCCAGAUGUCUGUAAUCCCAGCACUUGAGAAGCAGAAGCAGGAGGGAUCAAGAAUUCAAAGCCACCCUGAGCUAUGAGAGACACGUUCUCAAUAAACCAAUAAACAAGACAAACCAGGGACAGGGGCUUGUUUGGUCAAGCACAGCAUCAAGUACUGGUGAUUAUGUAGAUCGACUUGUUCACUGACAACAGGAUAAAGCAACGCAACAGGAUACUGUCGGGUCUGUGUGAAAGCAAAUGUGUUUACGCAAAUGAAUUAACUGCUUAAAUAAAAGCACAUGGCUACCAACAAUGUUGCAGAAAAUUUUCACUGAAAUAUUUAUAACUAUCAAGAAUUGGAGUCAUCAUUAGGAAAUUAGAUUAAUAAUAAAAUAUGUAUCCAUCUAC